Molecule: long non-coding RNA, 4946 nt
Organism: Anolis carolinensis (green anole)
Lineage: Eukaryota; Metazoa; Chordata; Lepidosauria; Squamata; Anolidae
Source: Ensembl
AUGCUAAAAAUUGUUCUGUUGAUUCGUAGAUCUUUUUUGAAUCAGUUGAUGGAAUCUAUUGAAUCUGAAGAAAUUGAAGGGAUUAUUAGCCUUACAGCAACUGUUUAUAUUGUUGCCUUAAUUAAAGGUAAGAAAAAGCCUUCAUAUGUAAAAGAUGUCGCAUCUGCCCUUCAAAGAAAGCUCGUGUUAUACAGUGAGAUUACAAAGGAAGACGUUGGCAAUGUGCAAAGGUUAGCUUUUGUGAGAAAGGUUCAUUCCUUUGAAAUUAUUCUGUCCUUGAUUUCUAUAACAUCACAAACUGUGUGUUGGCAUUAUGUGUUAUAAAAGAGUAAAGUAUGCAGGUUCAUAUCUAGCUAAAGAAUAGUUUUAACAGGUCUUUUCACCUUGUACUAUAAUAUGGUGUCCAACGUUUUGGGGGUUGUAUUUCUAAAAUCUUGAAAACAUAUAUGCACAUAAAUUAUGCAGAUUACUGAUUGGAUCACAUCUAACAUCUGGCAAUGCACAGAUAAUGUUCUUUGCUUGAAGUUAGUUUUUCUAGUCUUCUGCAUAAGAUCUCUUUGCAUAGCUUAUAUUUGUCCUGCUGCAAAGGAAGAUCACUAUGUCGUGGCCUUCAUUAAGGAAAAUAGAUUUAAGCCAUAACAAUUCUUGCUAAUAGUGCUGUGUCAUUUUAAUUUGACAUCCAGUGGUUUGCAUAACAGCAUCAGAAAUAUAAUGAGCAGGUGUUUGGGUUGAUGGGAAACAAUAUUUGCUUAUUUGUUAGUCAUUUGUAUAACUUAUUGCAGCUCCUCACUGCUCUGUUUCAGGACCCUGUAUGAAAUUGCUCUGCACACUUUAAAUGAAAAUUUCAGUCCUUGACUGUAUAAUGAUUUGCAAAUCAAAGGAACGAGAAAAAAAGAAGCAUUCAACCGUUUCCGAGAAGCAAACGGCUCAUCUGUACAGUAUUUUACCUUUUGGUACCUCAAAAUCUCUAUUUUGAUUGGUGCUUCCUUUGACUGUCAGCACAGAUAAUGUUGAAAGCAAAAUGGUAUACUUGUUAUAUAAAAAUUAUAGAGAAACUUUCUCAAAAUGCUGAAAUAUUUUUAUAUCUUGUAUUAAAGAUGGCUAAUAUACUUAAUCUAUAAAAAGAGUUUUCUCUCUUUCGAAUGACUUAAAUUCCUUAUAUUAUUUCAACACCAGUACAGAUAUAUGAAGCACAAAAUGAUUACAUAUAAGGAAAUCAAAUACUGAUAAAAUAAGAAACACUGCAACUGUUAUUUAAGUAUAUUUUGAACAUCAGUACUGAUACCAAAGUUGAUGGGGAUGAUUGUAGAUAUUAUUGUUAUUGUUUUAUUUCUUAUCCACCUCUCUUUGUGAUUCAGGGCAGGUUACAACAUCGCUAAAAACAAAUAAUCAUUAUAUAAAAUACAUUAUUAAAACUGACCAUUUAGCUGUCAAAUCUCUUCUGGCAGGUCAUUCCGCAGUUGUGGGGCGGCCAAAGAAAAGACCCAGUUUAUGUACUAUAAUUGAUGGUAUCAUGUAUAUGUUAUGGGGUAUCUUUUUUUUUUAAGGUUAUGGGAGGAGGGUGUCGCCAAUUCUUGUAUGCAUGGAUGUAUAAGUUUCCACUUUGUUGCAGAUGAGGGCUAUGCACCUUUUGUAUACACCAAGAGUUAGAGGAUUGUAUAUGGCAUAAACCCCUGUAGUUAUUAUUGUUGGUGGGUUCUGGAUCAGGAAGAAAUGCUGUAAAGUUCUGUCUCGUGGAACAACGACAACUCUCUUUCUUCAGCAUUCAGUUCUACUAGGUUCAUAGCAAUAUCAUCACCCACCUUCAAUGUUGUGUAUCCAGGUAUAGAAGCAGAGCACCCCUUGAUCUUUGCCUCCUGAUGUCCACCGGCCAGUAAAUAAUCGCCAUGACUCACACCUAUAAGGUGGGGAAGAAGAUGUGUUUCGUACUUCCAUCUGACAGUUAGCAUUUCUACAUGAAUAAUGUAAGUUAGCACUACUGCAAAAAACAGAUGUAGUUUAGUGGUUCUCUUUUGAAAGGAAAAUAUAUUGGCUGCAAUCCUUAGCAUGCUUACUUGGAGGUUAAUAAUACAAGAUAACUUUUUCACAUCCAAUUUUUCUGGAAGAUAUUUCAGAAGUUCUGUUGGCAAAUGCAAUUUUUUCGCAUUUAUCUCUCUCAGGCUUCUGCCGAUUUAGAAAAAAAAAAUAGAAAUCUGCUACCUAUGAAACUACAGACCAAUUAAAAGAAAGAAAGUAACCUAAAAUAAUAAUGGUAAUAACAAUACUUUAUUUGUAUUCCAUCCUAUCUCUCUGAGGAAACUCAGCAUGCACAAACACAAAGGUGCAGAUUCAAUGCCUAGAAAAAAUAACGCAGAUAAAGGUAAAGGCAUCCCCUUCCAGCUCUGGGGGUUGGUGCUCAUCUCCAUUUCUAAGCCGAAGAGCCUGCGUUGGCCAUAGACAUCUCCUAGGUCGUGGUUAGCAUGACUGCAUGGAACGCCGUUACCUUCCUGCCGAGGCAGUACCUAUUGAUCUACUCACAUUUGCAUGCUUUUGAACUGCUAGGUUGACAAGCUGGGGCUAACAGCGGGAGCUCACCCCAUCCCACGGAUUCUAACCACCAAUUUUCUGGUCAGAAAAUUCAGCAGCUCAGUGGUUUAACUUGUUGCACCACCGCAGACCCAAUUGUUCCUUUUUAUGCAACGUGGAUUUCCUUUUUUUGUCCUUUUGUUCUUUUAAGGAAGUAAUGGGAGCAAUUCUUUGAAAUGAGGCUAUUGUUCAUAGUGUCAGAACAAGUAUUAGCUACAGAUUUGUAGGACUAAUCACUGUUCUGUGUUCUGAACAGAACUCAAUGAAAAACUCCUUUAGUACUCUAGUUGGGUCAUGGUCAUGGCAGGUUGUUGCACACAAACACCAAAUGUCUGAAGUGGGGUUUUUUAAACUCCAUAGAUAAAGGUAAAGGUUUUCCCUGAUAUUAAGUCUAGUUGUGUCUGACUCUGGGCUUGGUGAUCAUCUCCAUUUGUAAGCUGAAGAGCUGGCGUUGUCCAUAGACGUCUCCAAAGUUAUGUGGCCAGCAUGACUGCAUGGAGCGCCAUUACCAUCCUGCCGAAGUGGUAUCUAUUGAUCUCACAUUGAUUGAACUGCUAGGCAGAAGCUAGAGCUAAUGAUGAUGAUAAUAAUAAUAUAUAAUAAUAACUUUAUUUUUUUUAUCCCGCCUCCAUCUCCCCAAAGGGACUCGGGAUGGCUUACAUGGGGAACAAGCUCAAUCCAACAGAGAUUAAAACCAAACAUAGAUUAAAACAUAUCUCAAUAAAAUCAGACAACAUUAUAACAGACAAUAAAAACAGCUAACAGCAGGAGCUCACCCCGCUCCCCGGAUUCGAACCGCCAACCUUUUGGUUAGCAAGUUCAGCAGCUCUGUGGUUUAAUCCGCUGCGCCACCGUGGGCUUUUAACUCCAUACCUAAAUUUAUAUAGUGCAGUGGGUGGGGGGAAUCAGUUUGUUUAGCAUGCCUUGCAAAUAUUUAUUAUUGUUAUUAUUAUUAUUAUUAUUAAUAAUUUUAUUUAUAUACCGCCCUAUGUCCCAGAAGGGCCUCAGGGUGGUUUACAACAAAGAUACAGACAUACAAUACACAACAAUAUAAAAACAUAUCAUUACACAAAAAUAAAAUUUACAUUAAAAUAACAAUCAGUAAAAUCACAACAGCUUCCAAUUGGGGUCAAUAAUGUCGUAGGUAACAUAGACCAUGAUCAGGAAAAGAUGAGACUACAGUAUAUUUCAUGAUAAGUAAAUGGUUGAUUUUUAUACCUAUUUUAUAUGCCCAAAUACCUAGGGUCAUGUAAACAUUUUUCAGGCCAAAACAGGUCCCGGGUUGAAAGGUUUAAGAAGCCCUGGAUCUGGGCUAUGGUUCUUUGUGGAUGAGAUUGUAUGCAUUUUUCCUCCCUGAAUUUUAUACCACGAAUAAUGGGACAUCAUUUUAACUACUUAUAAUUGCUUCUGCCUGGGCAAACUUCAAUUACUGGAGCCUGGAGAUAUUGACAGCGUUUGAAGAAGUGCUUUCUGUCAUCUGCAUGAAUGACCCCUUGUGUUUAAUAACCUAGUUGAGAAGAAGUGAAUUAAUGGGUAAGAAGGUGCGGACUGUCUCUUUGAUAAGAGAAACCAGUGUCAGACCACUUUGGAAAAGGAAUGUGAACCCAGUCUUUAAGGUGCCCUCUUAAAACAAAGUACUUGAGCAAAUUCUAGAGCAGGCAUGGGCAAACUUCGGCCCUACCGGCUGUUAGGAAUUGUGGGAGUUGAAGUCCAAAACACCUGGAGGACCGAAGUUUGCCCAUGCCUGCCUUAGAGUCUGAGACCACAUUUUAUCCAGGCUCCACAAGAAUAUCAUUUAGUUGCUAUGUUUGGAUCUGACACUUUUUUAGGUCAGAAAAAGCCAUACUAGAAGGGACAUUUGGUUCCAAAGUUUGGGUUUUUCUAGAGAGGAGUCAAUCCUAUAGAUGACUUUGCACAGAAAUAUAGAUUUCUGCUCCUGAUUCCUGAAGGACUUUUGUUAACGUUAGCUCAGCUCGAAAUGUGCUGAAGUAAACACUAAACAGAUGCUUAGGUCUUCAGUUAACUCUCACUUAUCAUUAGCAUUUUCAUUUAAUGCAAGCCUUAUCUCCAGCGAGUCUCCCAGGUAAUCACUAACGGCACUUUCAGUUUCAGACUCCGAAUGCAACUCCCUUCUCGAGCUCCUUUCCAGCUGCUGUUCUCUGGCAAUGUAGAAAAGCCAUUAUCAUUUAGCUUUGGCCUUAGGGACAAAACAGCAUCUCACAAGCUACUAGUUAUCUCUCAAAAUCAAUAUUCACUUUGGCAAUAAUAAUAAAAAAGAUAAUAUGUGAAUCAUCCACUUUGGAAACUGAAGUUUGAAUUCAUCCAAAUACUACCAAGGAUUUCAAGUGUUACUUUUAGUUUUGUUCAUAAUUCACGAGAUG